UGGGGAAUAUUGCACAAUGGGCGAAAGCCUGAUGCAGCGACGCCGCGUGAGGGAUGACGGCCUUCGGGUUGUAAACCUCUUUCAGCAGGGAAGAAGCGAAAGUGACGGUACCUGCAGAAGAAGCGCCGGCUAACUACGUGCCAGCAGCCGCGGUAAUACGUAGGGCGCAAGCGUUGUCCGGAAUUAUUGGGCGUAAAGAGCUCGUAGGCGGUUAGUCGCGUCUGCUGUGAAAACUCGAGGCUCAACCUCGGGCUUGCAGUGGGUACGGGCUGACUAGAGUGCGGUAGGGGUGACUGGAAUUCCUGGUGUAGCGGUGGAAUGCGCAGAUAUCAGGAGGAACACCGAUGGCGAAGGCAGGUCACUGGGCCGCAACUGACGCUGAGGAGCGAAAAGCAUGGGGAGCGAACAGGAUUAGAUACCCUGGUAGUCCAUGCCGUAAAACGUUGGGCACUAGGUGUGGGGUCCAUUCCACGGAUUCCGUGCCGCAGCAAA
This 492-nucleotide ribosomal RNA is filed under the name uncultured bacterium. RNAcentral describes it as "partial 16S ribosomal RNA". It matches the Rfam family "Bacterial small subunit ribosomal RNA", at positions 355 to 855 of the family's 1533-position model. The record is from RNAcentral.